AGUGAACGCUGGCGGUAGGCCUAACACAUGCAAGUCGAACGGCAGCACAGUAAGAGCUUGCUCUUACGGGUGGCGAGUGGCGGACGGGUGAGGAAUACAUCGGAAUCUACUUUUUCGUGGGGGAUAACGUAGGGAAACUUACGCUAAUACCGCAUACGACCUACGGGUGAAAGCAGGGGAUCUUCGGACCUUGCGCGAUUGAAUGAGCCGAUGUCGGAUUAGCUAGUUGGCGGGGUAAAGGCCCACCAAGGCGACGAUCCGCAGCUGGUCUGAGAGGAUGAUCAGCCACACUGGAACUGAGACACGGUCCAGACUCCUACGGGAGGCAGCAGGGGGGAAUAUUGGACAAAGGGCGCAAGCCUGAUCCAGCCAUACCGCGUGGGUGAAGAAGGCCUUCGGGUUGUAAAGCCCUUUUGUUGGGAAAGAAAAGCAGCAGGUUAAUACCCCGCUGUUCUGACGGUACCCAAAGAAUAAGCACCGGCUAACUUCGUG
This 492-nucleotide ribosomal RNA is filed under the name uncultured bacterium. RNAcentral's name for it is "partial 16S ribosomal RNA". It matches the Rfam family "Bacterial small subunit ribosomal RNA", at positions 29 to 507 of the family's 1533-position model. The record is from RNAcentral.